Molecule: ribosomal RNA, 254 nt
Filed under: uncultured bacterium
Lineage: Bacteria
Description: partial 16S ribosomal RNA
Rfam family: Bacterial small subunit ribosomal RNA
Source: RNAcentral
UACGGGGGGAGCAAGCGUUGUUCGGAUUUACUGGGCGUAAAGGGCGCGUAGGCGGCCACUGCACGUCGGGUGUGAAAUCUCGGAGCUUAACUCCGAAACUGCAUUCGAUACUGCCGUGCUUGAGGACUGGAGAGGAGACUGGAAUUUACGGUGUAGCGGUGAAAUGCGUAGAUAUCAGGAGGAACACCAACGGCGAAGGCAGCUCGCUGGGACGGUACUGACGCUGAGGCGCGAAAGCGUGGGGAGCGAACAGG